GAAAUGCGAUAAGUAAUGUGAAUUGCAGAAUUCAGUGAAUCAUCGAAUCUUUGAACGCACAUUGCGCCCGCCAGUAUUCUGGCGGGCAUGCCUGUCCGAGCGUCAUUUCAACCCUCAGGCCACGCCUGGUGUUGGGGCCCCACGCGCGCCGUGGGCCCUGAAAAUCAGUGGCGGCUCCCUCACGAACCCGAGCGCAGUAGCUUUGCCUCGCUCUGGGCGCGUGGGGGUCCCCCGCCGUGAAAUUCUAUCAUCUAAGGUUGACCUCGGAUCAGGUAGGAUUACCCGCUGAACUUAA
RNAcentral lists this unclassified non-coding RNA (295 nucleotides) under uncultured Sordariomycetes. Its description in RNAcentral is "sequence contains ITS1". The stretch from base 1 to 105 matches the Rfam family "5.8S ribosomal RNA", at positions 50 to 154 of the family's 154-position model. Lineage: Eukaryota; Fungi; Ascomycota; Sordariomycetes. The record is from RNAcentral.